UACGUAGGGAGCAAGCGUUGUCCGGAAUCAUUGGGCGUAAAGCGCGCGUAGGUGGCUUCGUAAGUCCGUUGUGAAAGUCAAAGGCUCAACCUUUGAAAGCCGAUGGAUACUGCGGAGCUAGAGUACGGAAGAGGCGAGUGGAAUUCCUGGUGUAGCGGUGGAAUGCGCAGAUAUCAGGAGGAACACCAAUAGCGAAGGCAGAUCUCUGGGACGUUACUGACGCUGAGACGCGAAAGCGUGGGGAGCAAACAGG
RNAcentral lists this ribosomal RNA (253 nucleotides) under uncultured bacterium. RNAcentral describes it as "partial 16S ribosomal RNA". It matches the Rfam family "Bacterial small subunit ribosomal RNA", at positions 524 to 776 of the family's 1533-position model. The record is from RNAcentral.